UUAGUAUUUUCAUAAAAAUUAUUUCAAAAUACAUAGCACCAGUGGGUCAGUGAGUUUUUUUGGGUUUGGUUCGGUUUUACUCGAAACCCGAUAUUUUUUAUGGGUUUUCCAUUUUUGAAACCCGGUUAUCCAUUUUUUUUGGGUUGGGUCCGGUUUUCCACCCACUAACCCGACCCGACCCAAUUUUUUGGGUUGGAUUGGGUGGGUUUGACCGGGUCGACUGGAUUUGUCCAAUCCAUGUACACCCCUAAUUUUGGGUCAAUGCAUCAAAUUUGAACGAUUAGUAUUUGUAGUUAUAGAUGC
Molecule: long non-coding RNA, 303 nt
Filed under: Trifolium pratense (red clover)
Lineage: Eukaryota; Viridiplantae; Streptophyta; Magnoliopsida; Fabales; Fabaceae
Description: long non-coding RNA (TPRA_LNC005024)
Source: RNAcentral